This is a non-coding RNA of Rattus norvegicus (Norway rat), 19658 nucleotides long. Lineage: Eukaryota; Metazoa; Chordata; Mammalia; Rodentia; Muridae. The record is from RefSeq and is a predicted model, not a curated record.
UAAAGCCAGGACAUCCUUCUAUUAUGCUAGGUAAGAACUCUCUCCUGUGUAGCAUCCUCUGUAGUUCCCUUUCCAUUUAUGUACAAACAGUGUCGCUAAAUCGUCAGGGCACCCUUGAACUUUUUGUUUUCUUUGCCUCACAGCCUCUCCUCCCAAGCAGCUGGGGUUAGGAGAUUGUACCUCUAAGCCCCACUUCCAGUAGGGUUCUCUUUGAAAAGUCCUUUUCUGUGAGGAUCCCUUACCAUCUCUCCAGACUGUCUUUUGCUCCCUUUUUCCGAGCAUUUAAAAAUACCAUGCCUAAGAAUCUUUUGCAGGGAAGGGGAUAGUGAGCUGGGAAGGCCUAUUUCUUCAUUUCGAGAUUCUGGUAAUAAACAUGUCAUAAAUAUAAAUGCCAAACUCCGGAAAUGCAGGUGUAGAGCGUCAGAUUCUAUUUGGACUUAAAUGAUGUGGUGUUUUGCUCUAAUUUCUACCGUGCUCUCCGUUCCUCAAGUCCAUGCAUUUCCUUAGGGUGCUGCCUUUCCAGAGUACUGGUAUGCUGCAGGGUGCUCAGUUCCACAUCUGUCUGCACUAUUUCAAAGUUUCCCUCCAGCCCACACAACUAUGCCUAGAGCUAGAGGUUAGAACCGUCUGUCCAUGCUCUUUAACCAACCACUCCAGAUAGGUGUGGUGGUUUUUUUUUUUUUUCUCUGUACUAAAAUUAGGACAGUCCAGGCCUGUUGUUAGACCAUUCACACCACAAAGCAGUCACCAAUCAAAGGCCAGCGGAGAAUCGGAUCUUCACCACUGCAGUUUCCAAUUUAUUUUCAUUUUCCGGACCUUGGAAUCCCCCCCCCCCUUUUAAAUGGGUGCAUCAUCCCUAAUAUUUUUUUAUUUUUUAUGUUAUUAUCAUUUUAUCCAGCAUUACUGUAUCAUUAAUGGCAAUUUUAAGUCUCUCGUUUUGCCAGUUCAAAAAAAAAAAAAAAGAAAGAAAGAAAGAAAAGAAAAAGAAAAAGAAAAACACGUAAUACUUUUCUUCAGUACAAAAGGUAGUCAUGACGGAAUAAGGCGCUUAAGGGGUUCUGUGAUAUGAGAUUUUCACAGCCUAGCUGGUUUCUGUAAAGUUUACAAGGAAAAGCUCGCAUUGCAACUUAAGUGCCACGAGGGGAGAAAUAUUCCCUUGCGUGUUCACUGCUGUAUGUCCCUUGUACCUGAUAAUUCAGGCACUUAUCAUCGGAAAGGGAGAAAAAAACGGAAGGAAAAACAUAAGUCCUGACGGCUGAAGGGCCAGUCUGUGACUAUGUCCUCCAAUAUGCAACCGGACUCAUCUGCUAAAUGUGGCUGGCGAAAGGGGUAAAGGGGCAAGGCCAGGCAAGGCCUUCUUUCUAGACGGGCCUGUUAUUUUCUCUUUCUACGGGCAUUUUGUUACUUUUCAGUUUGGUCGCCGAGCUUUUCAGACAGGAUAACCCUAUGUAUUGCAGGCGCCAUUUUGAGGGAAUGACCUGAAUAAAUGGUUUCCUGACAGAACUCUGACCACGGUUCUGCACAGGACUUGUUUCAAAGGGUCUUCAGACACGGUUCUGGGGGGCAGGGGAGUGGCGCAAGUCUGUACAUCUGUGAGGCUCCGGCCUAGCUCUGCACUGAGCACUGUUCCUCGCGCAUGCCCCAUGCGUACCCCUCACAUACUCGGGUGGGCGACGUGGGUCCCCAGGCCCCCCGGCGAGGGCCGAGGGCUGCCGCCCACUGGCUGAAGCCCAGGACAAGGCCAGCCACCCACAGUCUUUCCCUAGGGCGAGCCACCCACACCUCAGUGUUUCACAGACUCCCGCCAAGUCUGCUCAGCUGCCUUGGAGGCCCUCGGCUCUCCUUCCACAGCCACCUUGGCUUUUUGCCCGUUGGCGGCCAGGCUGCCACUCCGCAGCUGCCCUGAGAAGCUGCUAACCACAUGGCUUCGGUGGUGCCACCUUCGAGUUAUUUUUCAACCGGACUUCCAGCCGCCAUCAUGGGAGGAAAACUUGAAUAGAAUUGUUCAUUGACUCAGCCCACUCAGCCACCUAGCGCGGGUGAGUCAAAACCCUUUCCUUUCCGAUAUUCGUUUUUACUUUAUUAUCAUGUGCAAAUGCUAUAGAUGUUUUCUAGGCAUCUCCAAACUUCUUUAAAUGACUCAUGUGUUUAUAAAUACUUUGGCUAUGGUAUUUUAUUUCUAGCAAGUAUUUCCUCAUGAUUUUUCAAAAACCAUUCAAGUCAUAUACUUUAAAAAGAAGAUCAUUCUUUUUCUUGGAUGAGGGAGAUAGUUCAGUUGGUAGACUGCUUGCCUUCCAAGAAUGAAGACAACCUGAUUUUGAUUCCUUAAAUUCACAUAAUAAAGUCAGAUGUGGUGAUGCAUGCUUUUAACACCAAGAUAGGGAAGAGGAGGCAAGAGAAUAACUGCAUGCCACUGUUGGUCUGCGUUCUGCUCACCUCAGGGUAGGGAUGGCAGCUCAGGAGGCAAAACAUCUUUGGUUGGGGAGGGGUUUGACUGUGCUUAUCCAGCCAUAGCCAGUUGGGUGCUGGGUUUCAGGGAAGACUCAGCUCCAGGUGAGGGAAAGCACAGUCUGAGAUGUGUGAAAGCCAGAGCUGGUUCAGAGGUCUUUGGCCUGCAAUGAGGGUGGUGCUGCGGGGUUCCUCUGACUCUCCGACAUCCAGAUGCUGCUGGGAGUCUUGGAACAGCCUAGAACUGAGUCAGAGGACCUGCAGGCUGAGGACAGCAUCUAGCCUGGGGCAGGAGUGGUGGAGUAGGGAUGGAGGAAGAGGGUUUCCAGCUUAGCUGCUGUGACUGUCCUUAGCUUGGUGGUGGUUGUCUGGGAGUACAGAUGAGCCUUCUACAGGAGACUUAGCUGUGGUUCUGUAGGCCUUUUCCACGCUGCCCUGGUGGAUCUUGAUGAAAGACAGCCCAUGUUUCUAAACUGUUCAUUCAUUAUUCAUGGCAGAAAAUGGAUCCAUACCCUACUUCUCAGAGUGGACCCAAGAUUAAAUACCUUUUGGACGGAGGAAUGUCUGGAAGGGAAGCUUAUUGGCUAAGUCCUCAGGGCCUCUAGGUACCUCAUUAGCAUGGAGAACUCUGCUCUGGGCCCACAAGACUACAGGCCAGGUUUCCUUAUGUGGGGAAUGUGGCACAUGUUCCAGGCCAGGAAUCUGUCACCUAAGUCUCAGGUGUGUGCCCACCAACUCUCUGGGUCUCAACCUGCUCCACCUUAGCAAACUUUCUGGUGUUGUUUUACCAUCCCACAUUCCACUAGCCACCGCACUAGCAAAUUCUGGAUUUCCAAACAAAUGAGAAAACAUUUGGUAAAUGGCUCCUGAGAAACAACAACCAAUGCUGUUCUAUAACCAAUUGUCACACACACACACACAGACACACACACACAUACACACAUACCAUACUUUUCUCUUUUUUUAUGAGCAACGGUUUUACCAAGGUUAUCUCUCAGGAGACUAUAACCAUUCCUUUGAUUAAUUAAUAUUCAUUUAACAACAGAGAAAUCAAUAUUUGGAUUCCAUAGUUCCCAUUUUAUAACUGGAUCUUGUAUUUUAAUUAGGAAUAUUGAUGAUGCCCAAUAUAAACGUAACAUAUUUUCAUAUUUCCUUUCUUACUUUGUAUUUAAGAUAUGUGAUAAUGCAUGUGUGUAUGAGAGACCCCAUAUCUUGAUGUGCACUUGUCCAUUCUUUCACAAAGAUAGUUUAAAGUAGUAAAAGUGUGGCCAAGUACUUUUAUGGUUAAGAAAUAAGGGGAGCAUUAGGACAAGUUUUAGUGACAGAGCACUAGGCCACACCCAAUGCUGUCACCCACCUUGCACUGUCCUCAUGUGCGUUUUGCUGAACGAGCAAUCCCUUUCUCCCAGGAUGGUAGCAUUUUCGUCUUUUUACACCAUCUUCUUAUAACAGAGGAUGUAGUUCACUUCUGCCUUGUUUGCCUACUCUCUCAAAAUAUGACAAUGUGACAGCUGAGUGGGAAAGGAGCUGAAGGGUUGGUCAAAAGCUACCAAGGGUCUCAGCCAGAGUGUCUUCCUUCAACCCACCAUUGUGAGUCACGGUUCCUCCUGACUUUAAGUCAGUGACCUUCAGGAGGAUUUUAGGUAACUUUCAAGGCUAGGUGAUAUGACAAGGGAUAGCAUCUUCCUGACUCUUCCAAAACUCCUUUGACCUAGUACGAUGCUGUAAGGAAUCUAAGUGAGCACAUGGAGAGGUCAUCCAUGACUGUUUAGCAGAUAGCUCCAGCUGAGGUCCACGUUAAUGGCAGUCAGCCAGCAUCAGCUGCUGACCUGAGAGUAACACAGGCUGCUCUUGCCCUCUAGGUUUAGACCUUCUCCAGUGACCUGAUGGAGCUGACAGACAAAUUGCAGACUAAUGAGCUAAUACUAAUACCUCUUGUGAUUUUAAGAUAAUUGACCUACUGGUCACUGCACAAAGCUUCCUGCAAGUGCUACAUGGUCCCACUGCACAGAAGUCCCACUCAGUCCUUUCCACCAUAUAAUAAUUAGGUACUGUGUUAUGACCAAUCAGCCUUUCCUGCCUGUAAAUCCCCCACCCCACUCCACAAAAAAACCUCUGAGGAAAGUCACACAGCCUAUGGCCAGAUUACAGGUUCAGCUUCCUCUUGCCUGAUAAGAACUUGCCAGUUGGUUCUUGGAAUUCCUCUUCAUGUAAGUGAAUUGUCCCAGCCCUAGCCAAUAAUGGAGACCUACCCUGGAAAUCCCUACCCACUCCCCAAGAUCUACCUUGUUCACUUGAUUUGUCUCACUGAAGCUGUUUCUGGAGGUACUCAUGGCUAAACUCUGCCCCCCUAAAGGCUGGAUAAUAUUCCAGUAUGCAGACACAUUACAUCACAAACUUUUCCAUUUGGGUGUAAGUCCAACUCAUUCAUUCAUUCAUUUAAGCAGGGCCCCAAUAAGUAGACUAGGCUUGUCUCGAACUGGUAGUGGGCCUCCUGCCUUUGCCUCUUAUGUGUUUGAAGAGAACUGUCAUGUGCCACAACGGCUGUCUCUUACUUUUUCACUCCACUGCCUCAUCCUUUUGUUGCCAUAUUUAAGAAAUUACAGACAAAUGUUAAGUCAAGGAGACUUGUGCCUGCAUAUUCUAAGUUUUAUCUCCAUCUUGAGUUUUAUUGCAUACGUUGGUAUAUGAUAAGAGGAAAGGGUCCAGCUUCACUCUUUUGCCUAUGAGAAAUUUAGCCUUCUGAGCCCCAUUGUUCAUGGUGUUGGACAUCCAUGGAAAGGAUGACUUCCUGACUGUAGAUUAUUCCAUAGCAUGCUAUUAAUUAUUCCUCAUCCUCCUGUAGUGCUGGAGAAAUGCGUAUCAUUUACUCCUUGCCCAGACCUUCCUUUAGAGAACCCGUCCACCUCACAGCUCCAGAUAGGCAAUCUCAUGACUCUUGGAUGUGGUUGACUGACUACUUCAUGGAGACAUACUCAGCCAAAGCUGACUUAACAGGCUUUACUCUGGAUAUGUGUUACCCACAAAGAUCCAUUAUGAAUUCAGUUAGCUCUCAAGGAUUGCACUGUAGGAGAUAGUUUGGUGUAGGGUCUGGUGGGAGAUCUUUAGGUCACUGGGGAAGUAACCCAAGUGUAGGAUCUUUUCCUCAAGAGACCCAUUGAUGUAUAGACAGAGUAGAUAUAAAAGCCUGAGUUUGGCUUCACCCAAGUUCCCUCUCCGUUCCCUCUCCAUCCUCCUCUCCCUUCCUCUUCUUUUCUCCUUCCCUGUCUCAUUGCUGCUGCUUCCUUAAACAAGAUAGAUCAUUCCUCUCCCCACAGGUCACACUUUGACAUUCACCAUGAAGCCCUCAGUCAGAAUUCAUUAUUGGUGACUUUUGUCUUCUAUAAUAUCAAAUGUACUUUGCAAACAACACCAUACCAAAUGACUAUGCUAAUGAGAAAACAAACAAAAUGUAAACAAAUAUUCUCAGGGUUUGGUUCUUAUGGGUGGAUUGAUGUCUAUGUGCAGAUGAGGGCAGGCACAAGAUAAGGCAAGGCCUGUGAUUGGGCAGUGAAAAAGUAAGGAGGGCACAAAGAUUUGAAGAGAGGAGAGUGAGAAAGGAGAAGAACCAAGAUGGAGGAGGAGAAGGACAACCCAGGUCUGUGUGGCCUUAAAGGGCCACAGGUAGCAAGUUGGGUUGAGAUGCUUUGUUGAUUAAGAUGCCGUGUGACCUGCUGGAGCCGGCACUGGUGUGGGUUGAGAGAUUUUUUUUUUUAAUAUUUACCGCUACACUUAUGCUAAGUAUCUAGUCAGGAAUCUUAUAAAAACUGCAGAAAUUAUAUUUGAAUUUAACAGUCAUAACACAGUUCUUUAACUGUUGUUUAAAUAGUCUUUAAGUGUUACCAUUGAUUUAGAAUUGGCUUAGUAAUGAGGCAUAUAAGCCUCAAAUAAGUUUAAUUUAAAUCUAAGUGUAAUUUUCUCUCAAGAAGGCCAGGUCUCUACCCAGAACCUCUGUGUCCCGUGCCAUGGUGACAGGCAUCUGGUGCUGCUCUCCUACAACACAGCUCAGGGGCAAAAUCCUAAGAUCUCCUCAGCCUUCCUAUCAACUGGAGAGUCUAAGAAUGCACUCUCUGCUUUAAAGACACUUAUCCCAACUUGCUUCUAGUACUUCUGUUUAUAUCUUAUUGGGCAGAACCAAAUCAGUUAGGAUUCUGGGAAAUGUAGUUUCUACUGGAGGCAGCCAUGUCCCUGUCUAGAAUCUGAGAGUUUUGUUGCUAAGGUUGGUUGAGAUAACAGGUAGUAGAGACAAAUCGGAUUUGGUCAUACUUUGAGAUAAAAUGUGAACUCACUGUCAAUGAAGUCUUGACCAACCAGAUAUAGCUUGCUCUCCUGCUUCCUAAAGGGGUUUGAUGUUGCUUCUAACCUUUGUUUUGUUUACCUUUUCUCUCAGGUGGAGGACUCCAUACCACCUUUGCACAUGCACUUACUGCUGGGAUUAAGGAACCCUGCAGUAGAUGCUCUGUCACCAUGAAUAUCUUCAUAUCUAAUAUCUAAUAUCGCUAAUACUUCUGCUUUGUAGCAACUAUGACCAUUGAAAGUGCAAGUUAUUUACCUUCUGGUUCACUUUGUUCUGCUUCAUCUUUAUCUUUAAGCCUCUAAGUCCUAUGAAUCAGGGGCUUGGUUUGGUUCAUGCCUGUAUUCCCAGCAUUAUACUAAUUAGUUUCUUAUUAAGUUGUCCCUACUCCAUGGGAAAACUCACGGUUUAUUUGAUUAAACAAAACUAAAAUGAUCUGCCUAGAAACAAUUUUAAAGUCUCCCAUAGCUGAUCCAGCAACUCCUCUAUUCUUCUCCAGCCUCUGUGGACCACAGCAAUGUAUUCAGAAGCUCGUGACCUCACAUAGGAGGUUUCAGACAAUUCCUUACAGCUCCUUCAUCUGUUCACCGUCUGCCAUGCAACCCCCAAUGUUAUUAUUUAAGUUUUAAAGGAAAAAGAAAAACCAAAGGAAAACAAUGACAGGAUGUGGGGAUUUGUAAUUGAAAAAAAGUUCAAAAAAGUCUUAUGGAAUCAACUAAUGAGCUUUCAGAUAGAACGACUUCAUGGAAUGACACAGUCUAGUUUUCUCAAUGUCACUGAAUGAAAGUUUCACUUCACAUUCAAAGUCUUCCUCAAAUGCCCUGGUUUCGUCCCCUGCCUUGGUAGGGACAGCAUGCCCCCUGAGCAUUUGCCCUGUCCUGGACAGCCAGAGGCUUGCCGUGGCCGAGGACCAGUGUACUAUCUGCCAGUCUAUGCUGACCCAGCCAACAAAAACUGAGGAAGAGGGCACCUCAUGGAAGCUGUUGUACUCUGGGUGGUGCUGUGUUCCAAAAGCUGCUUUAGACACAUGUGUGCAGCAGAAACCUUGUUUUUACCCCUAAAGUGGCAUGUCAAAAAAAAAAAAAUCAGGUACUUCUGCUUCUGAAUUGGCAGAGGAUUUAUUUUAUGCAUAAUUUUCCAUGUUUCUUGGGAAGAAAAGAAUGCACCUCUUUUAUAAGUGCUUCAUUCCUUUCCACCAAUGUGAGCCAUCUUGAGAUCUCUGCAGGAUAGAAACCAAACCAAAUGGGCAUCGUGGGUUGCCCAGGGGCAGGGCAUGGGAGUGGGGUCAGAAGAAUAGAAAUCUGUCUGUCAAUCCUCUCUCCCCUCCCCUUUUCACCCACAAAGGCAAAAGACUCUUUCAUUAGGGGCUCCACAGAUCCAAUCCAUCCCUGCUAGGUGAGCCUUUCCUAGAAACAAGCACAAAAGGGAUCUAGCAGCAAAGCAAGCACUGAGGGAGUGAGAUGGGCUACCAAGAGAGGAGAGGAAAAAAAAUCAAUAAUGAAAAGGAGCAUUUCAGUAUAAUUUAAUCUUCUGUUUCAAUAAAGGCAUUUAUUACCAUAUAAAUGUAGCAAAGAGCCUGGGCUAAUAUGAAAAUGAGUUUUAUUAGGUAAUUAUGAUACAAAAAUUAUAUUCAAUGAGAAAGUGACCCAAAAAAACUUUAGAAAGUUUACUAUGUAGGUAGGGAGAGAAGAAAAUACAUUUCUAUUCAGAUUCAAAUUUUAAUUUUUUAAUAUAUGUUUGGGUUUAAGCUCUUUUUGCCCCCCACAUUUUCGGGGGAGAAAUAUCAUUUGAUUUUCUUAUGGGAGUAUUCUGGAUGGAGAGUAGAGAGGGGAUGGGAGGUGGUCCCUCCUAGGGCCCCAACAAUAGAUUUGCUUUCACUCUGUGGGAUCCCCUUCCCCCUUUCUGAACCCAACCCCCAGGAGAGUAAGCAGAGCCAAACAAAGGAAGGGAUUAAACAGAAAAGAAGUGUGGGACUAAAAACUGAGGGUCUUAGAGUUUCCUUCUUUCCCCUUCUCUGAGCAAUUGGCAGUUAGUAGGGAUAAGUCAGGUCUAACAGGCCUGGAGAAACCCUCAGAGGUGUGAGAUGUAAAGAAAUAGAUUUUUUUAACAAUUUUUUCUGUAGAUGAGAGGAUAAACUGAGGGAUUUAAAAGAAGAGAAUACUACAAAAUAAUUGAAAUUUAUUUCAUAUAAUCCUAGAGAAAGAAAAAGAAUUACUAGUUACUUAGUAGAGGAUAGUCAGAGAGCUUAAAGUUUAGUAGCAUUAUGGGCCCCUGAGCGAAGUAGAAUGGAGAAAAGUAUGGGGGAAUAAAAGAAUAGAGGCCAGUGGCUAAGCUGCCCUAACCCUGAGGACAGGGCUAGGGCAGGCUGUUAACUAGGGUUGGGAGCUUCCAGUCUGCUGGGGUUGAUUCUGAGAAUCCUUAGGCUUAAGUACAGGACAAGUACAUGAGAGCUCUGUCCCAGGGCAUUUGCAAGGGUCAUCUGAAUCUCGGUGAUUCAGGACCGAGAGCUUGACCAUCUAAAAGGAAACCUCUAUUCAUACUGUCCAAGACACCGAAGACAGCCUCUCCCAGGUUACCCUGACAAAGUCCUUGAAGUCACCUUGGUUCACCUUGCUACAAGGUUCAAGAGCCAGGUACUCAGAUACUCUGCCUUUAUCUCCACAAGAGGUUUCUCACUUUGGAACAUGGAGUUCCCAAGUCAGGUUUUCUCUGUGUAGCCCUGACUAUCCUGGAAUUCCCUCAGUACACCAGGCUGGCAAGUAACUCAUGGAUCCACCUGCCUAUGUUGCUGGAAGUAAAGGUGUGCACCUCCACCACAAGGCUUCCUCAAGGCAUUUGCAAUCAUUCAACUACCAAAUGUGGAGAGUCUAGUGACCAUCCCCAGGCACCAGGCACAGGGAUAGCAGCUAAUGGGAAGCAGGCCCAGUAGCCCAAGCGAACAAAGUUCAGAGGGGCAGGAGGAAUACAUGUAGACACUCUACACAGCAGGGUGAUGUGAUGGGCCCCUGAGCCCUGUAGAAUGGAGAAAAGUAUGGGGGAAUAAAAGAGUAGAGGCCAGUGGCUAAGCUGCUCUAACCCUGAGGAUACCAUAGCAAUCUCUCCUAAGGUAUUCAGAGCAAAGGAUUCCUUGGCCCCUAGCACCUAAAAUAGACAGCAUGGACAGCCAUAACCCCGUGGGUUUGAGGGACGUGGGAAGGGAAUCAGCCAUGUUUGGAUUCUUUUCAGAGUUAAAUCCUAAUGGCUCCAUAUUCUGUGUGCAGGCCCUAGCCUAUUGACCUCCACAGUUGAACAGUGAAGAGGCAGGAAGGACUGAGGCUGCAGUUGACCUGGCCCAUGGUGAAGUCCUGCACUGGAUAACAGUCACUGAGAAUACCUUGGGAAGGAAUAUGAAGGUGUCCUGAGGAGGCAGAUCUAGGAGUGCACUUUUCCUUUCUAGAAGGCUGUCAACAAAACUGAAACAGGACUCUGGAGACAUUCCUGUCUCCUAUGAUUUAGAUGAUGGAAACUAAGUGUACCAAAUAAUGAAGCUUCACUAAGAGCCUGGACAGAAGGUAGCUUCUGUACCAGGUGUCACUAAACCAGUCACAGAAUGCAGGGGAAACAACAUCAGGCCUUUGGCAUCAGGCUCUAGAGAGUACUGCUGUAAGGUCUAGUGAAAGAAUGCUGACAUAGGUGAACUGUCCUACCGUCCAGAAAUUACAGCUAUGACUGAGACAUUUAUAGUAACCAAAGUUUUGAUUAAUGCACAGCUCCAUGCCCCUGAGAAUGUGAUACCUCAGUCCAAAGGAGGGCAGACCUGGCUGAAUUGGACAGUGCCCAGAAUCUCCUGUGUGGAAGGCAAUAUGCAAGCACAGACCUAGGACAGUCACAGUGACCUCAGAGGAUUAGGAAAAGAAAGCACAAUCCUCAGUACAGCUGGAUCAAGAUACAUCCAGGUGCAAGGAAGACAUUUAGGAUGUCUGUUCUGUGAAUAUAAAUUUGAUCCUGGCAACUUGGUAGUCCUUAAUAAAACUAAAAUUCUGUCUUCUUUGGCCCUCUCCAAGUUUGCAGAACUGCCUUUGAUCCUGGUCCAUGCAUGGGUCAUAAAAAUCCACCCUUCCUUGAGGCAGAGACUUGCAACCAGACCCUGAAGAUGUGUGAAACCUCCUGGCGGCUGUGAUGCUGGUGGUAUCCUAAGUCCGCUGGGCCUAUAGAGGGAGGGAGAAGUAUCUCAAGGAAUGAGAGGAAGGUGGCUUUUGCCUCCAAACAAUGUGGUGAGAAUCUGUCACCUCUAAAAAGAAAUAGGUGCCCCAUCAUGAGUUCCAAUAUAGGAAUCUCCCUCAGGACAACAAUUAACCAUCAAGGCAGGAUGCUCCCCUUUUGGAAGAAGACAGACAGAAAGACUUUCAACAUCCUCUGAGGCUUCUCCUGCAACUUUCCAAAAGUCCUUCCCAGAAAGGGAUAGGGCAAUGCCCCUGAAGAAAUGAGGGAGCACUGACUUAGGGUCAGACCUCCAGUUCAUCAUAUGUUCCACAGCAAAAAUUCAUUCAUUCAUUCAUUGAGUCAGUCAUUCCCUCCCUCUUCACUGAAAAAAAUGUGGCUAGAACGUCCCUAGUUUCUCCUACCCUGAACCAGUUUUCCAAAUAACACAGUUUGUGGUUCCUGCCUACAAUAGCAGAAUACUUUUUGAACCAGUUUUCCAAAUAACACAGUUUGUGGUUCCUGCCUACAAUAGCAGAAUACUUUGAAUUUAGGUCUUCGACCUCCAUUCCCAAUGUCAUGGCAGUCACAGAAACAUUGGCAGACUGCUGCCUCCCAGAGCACCCAACUGCCAUGCAGUAUGUUUACCUAUUCUGCACUUGUGUGGUCAUGGGUUCGUUUCUUUUGUUGGGAUCCCUAUUCUGCAGUUGUGCAUUGUUUCUCCUAAUCAACUCCAAAAUCCAGAUGAUCCUGUUUAAGUGAGCCAUAGACUUCAUUAAAUCCACUGGUGCCACGGUCCACUCAGACAGAGGAUACCACUGUGGGAGAAGGAGGGCUCUGGUACUCAGGAAGGCACAGGUUUGGUGCAAUGACAGACAGACACAACACACUCAGGGUGAUUUGAAUCUGCUGCGAUUUUACUAAAUUUCUGCUUAGUGGUUAUAUACAAUGCUUGAACAGGAGCUAAUUUUUGGCCCCUUGCCAGGGUACAGUCAAACCAUAACAAAGAAAAAGUUUAACAGUUUAAAUGAAGUUCAGAACAGAAAGCAAGACAGGAAAUAAACUUUCCUGAGAAUCGGACUGGUGCCAGACGGUGGUCAUAAACCUCAUUUACCUCCAUCUCUAAAUAUCAUCUCUCGGAUAACAACAGGACAGCCAGCUGUAAGGAAUCUUUAGUCUUUUACUCUCUCUUAGCCAAAAUUCAUGUAAUCGUCUUUUUAAAGGUAGGAUAAUUCCUUUUGAUAAUAGGCAAGCAGGGGGAUGUGAUCUGGCCAAGUGUUCUAUAAAAUUUAAAGAAAAAUAUAAUACUCUCUUUCCAUCAAUAUUAACCCAUCUAUCACCUUCUUCAUUAUAUGUCCCUGUGUAGGGCAAUGGCUGUGCAGCGGUCCUGUAUCUACUCAGGCUGUUUUUACCUGGAGGAGGGGCCCACCACCUUCCUCUAAUUAAAUAAUGUUUUCUUCCAUGUAACUACUUGAUAGGAAUUCCUAAAUGUAUGGAUUUUUUUAUAAUUGACGGGACUUUCCCCUCUAAUUGCUAGUGCCUUGAUUCUUUCACUAUCUAGGAGGUCUGGAUUAUCCACAGUUCAUUCUUCCUGUUAUAAGUUAUUGAUCACAUCUCUUAGAGUUCCAUUCUGAUUCUACUUAAUUUUUGCUAGUGCUUUCAAAAGAGGCAUGGUCCGUAAAGCCCAAAUCAGGUCUCGAUGUUCCCAUUAGUAGAAAAAGGAACAAAGGGGUCUGUUCAAAUCAGUAGGCAGAAAGUCGAGAGGAAGUGGCCAAGUGUCUCCAGGAGACCAGGUUCCGAGGAACACAUAUCUCUGGCCUGCUGACCACGAUUGUUUCAUGUCAGACAGGCUCCACUGGAGCUGGGCCAGCACUAUUUCAUGUGGGCUUUGCUUCCCAGGUGAGCAAUCGUUUCUCAUGGGUGAAUUGAGACCCAUUCCCUGCACGUGUGGCUGUAUAUAUCCAGGCAACUACACCAGAUCCCCUCACAUAAGCUUUCUGUUCCUUGCCUUCCCAACUAAGCUGCUUGAUUCAUGAGUGCAGCUUCCAAAAUUGAACAGAAUUAGUUUCUGGUACUGUAUAACAAGGAGGCAAGUCUCAUUACCUUGUAUGACACCUGAGAUUUAGAGCCAGACCUAAGCACAUGAAGUCAACUUUAAAGAGUGCAGACACGUGACUCUUUGUCCAGCCCACGUGGUGUUUUUAAGAAAGCACCAUCCAGAUCUACAAAAGGUUAUCGUAGGAAAGAAACAGUCAUUAUUCUACAGGACUAGAGGGCACAGUUCACAGGAGUGGGUAGAAGUAGGGAGGAGACCCAGAAUAUAGAGGGAUAGACAGAGCUGUCCCGCAGAGUAGAGUUCACCUUCCAUGCUCUUACUCAAAGUGGGCAGAAAUCCUGGCAAUAAACAGAACCCUAUAGCCUUCAACCUUCCCAUUAGAUCUCAGAUUCCUUGUUUAUUCUUACUGAAGAAUAAACAAGGGUACAGCAGGAACACUCAUAUUCUCUAGGUCACAAGGCCAUAGUAGGAAAUGAAGAGCUGUAUAGGCAAAAAUACAUUGAAAAGAAUUUAGUCACCAAGAGCAUGCACUAUGUAUGGCUUCUGUGUAUGUAACCCUCAACAGCAGUGCCCGUGCUGAUCAGUGCACAAGAUGCUGGCCCAGCCUAAAGGAAAUAGAAAAUCAAAAUCUGCAUGGGUUUGCACAGGGCUGAUACUGCUUUUGUCUUCAAGGGAACUAACAGGUUAUGAGCCAGACUGGCUGGGAGUGCGGAGUUCCAAUGCAUCCUUGCUUGAAGGGUUUAUGUCCUUCUCUGUGUAUAAACGGGCCAACAAGUGCAUGGGUGCUGAAAGUUGUUUAGACAAUCUUGACAAUCAAAUGACAGUACCUGGGGGAAACCCCAGUCCAAGACCUGUUACAGAACAGAUGUUCAAUAAAUAUGUGCAGUCAUCGGACUCUUGCUCUGUCAGCCUUGACUAUGCCAGUCUUUCAGAAACUUCAGAGGAGAACUAGGCCAUCUUUGAGUUUGUGCAUCCUGCUUGACACCUCUGACAUUUAUUAUCAUGAAUAAACAUUACUUCCAAAAUCCCAAGUGGAAAAAGAAUGGGGCUGAAGGCUGUAAACACCUGAGUGGAAGUACGCCAGGUGUUACCCACCUUUGUGUGACAUUGAGUUUGUUAUUGACACUCUGUGUCCUUCAGUCGUAGGGCUCACUCUGCUGACUCUGAGAUGACCCAAUGAACCUGUAGGAGACCCAGAACUAGGUGCUAAUCCUCCUUUGAAAGAUACUACAGGGACAUCUCAUUUUCUUAGGGUGGUAGUGCUUCUAAGUAGUUUUCUCUUGGUUAAGAUUCAUGUAGACUCACUCUUAAGAAAACAUGAGUUUUCAGCCUUUGUGUCUCCUAGAUCUUGUUCCUGCUCAAGCAAGCUACAGUAAGAUGUCAGCCUGAAUACAGUUUUAAAUACCAAGGGCUGAAUUAAUUAUUUCUAGAUUGGGGAAAAUACAAAACUAAAACGUAAGGCCAGGUUCAGAGCACCGGAAAUUUCAGGACUGAAAGUUGAUCUCUUGGGUUUAUUCAUUUAUCCGGUUCAACAAUAUUUGAGGCAUUCUUAACCAUUUAGUGGCAUUCUGUAGAACCGAUAGUCAGUUUCAUUUGAAGCUCAGUCGUAGCUGGAAAGAUCUGGGAAAAAUUGGAAACAGUAAAUGAGCCUCAGAGUAGGUAGAGUGGCCAAUAAGGGGAAGUUAGAGAAGAUGUCAUUAACGGGUCCCUGAAGCUGGAUUUGUUAGGAAUUUGUGCUCUGAGCAAGGGAGAUUAGAUUCCAUCCCAUGUUAGAAGUUUUAAUCAAGGAGGCAACAUGGGUGGACUGAUUGACUAACUAGCUUUCUAUUAAUUUUAGUCAGGAUCUCAGGCUACCAUCCAACUCAAAAUUCCCCUAUCUCAGCCUCUGAAGUGCUGGGAUUGCAGGGAUAUGCUUUUAUGCCUGGCUGACUCUCUGUCUCAAUAUCUCUCUGUGUCUCUGUUUGCCUCCACUUCUCUUUGUGUGUGUGUGUGUGUGUGUGUGUGUGUGUGUGUGUGUAACUCUCAGAUCCAUGAUCCAUGAUCAAUAUACUGAACAGUUCCAUUUAUGCUCACAAUAUGCCUGCUAUCAUCCUGCCAUAGUCACAAACAUCUCACCUUUAACAACUGCAACCAUAGAUUUCAUCUCUAUCACAAUGUUGUGUCACCACAAAAUGUCAUAUGCACAGAUAUGUUUCAGUCAGUAAAGUGUGUGCUGUGCAAGCAGGAGAAACUGCAUUUGGAUUCCUAGCAGAACCUUACUUCUACCAUCACCAUGACUGCCAACAUUAAAGAAAAGUUUGGAAAAGCAGUAUAUGUCUAUAAUCCCAGCAUGAGACAGGGGUUGGGAGAGUGAGAGAGGUCCCUGAAGUUUACUCUCCUGUCAGUUUAGCUGAAUUGGUGAAUUCAAGGUGCUGUAAGAGAUCACGUCUCUAACAAACACACAACUAAAACCAUGAAGAGUGAUGUGGUAAGUAAUGUAAAAGUCAACCUGUGGGUGGCAUGCACACUUGCUCACACUCAGAAGUGCACACUGAUACCAACACCUGUACAUACCUAUAGCACAGGCAUCUAUGUGUGGACACAGAUAGUUUUGGAUUGAUAGUUCCAUGCUCUAAGGCAUUGUAAAAUUCUGUGAGAAACUGUCAGACUAUUUCCAGAGCAGCUGAGCUGGUUUCCAGUCAGUUAGUAAUGCCUGAGUGUUCCAAGUGAUCUCUCCACAUCAGCACCUGGUAAGGCCUGCUAAGUAGUUUGGUCAUUCUAAUAGCUCAGGGCUCUCUCAUUGUAGGGAUUUGAAUCCCUACAAUGUGCUAGGUAUGUGGAAUAUCUUUUUUUUCUCCUUUUUUGUUUUUAUCUUUAUUAACUUGAGUAUUUCUUAUUUACAUUUCGAUUGUUAUUCCCUUUCUUGGUUUCUGGGCCAACAUCACCCUAACCCCUCCCACUCCCCUUCUAUAUUGUUGUUCCCCUCCCCAUCCUCCCCCCACUACCGCCCUCCCCCCAACAAUCACAUUCACUGGGGUUCAGUCUUGGCAGGACCAAGGGCUUCCCCUUCCACUGGUGUCCUUACUAGGCUAUUUAUUGCUACCUAUGGGGUUGGAGCCCAGGGUCAGUCCCUGUAAAGUCUUUGGGUAGUGGCUUAGUCCCUGGAAGCUCUGGUUGGUUGGCAUUGUUGUUCAUAUGGGGUCACGAGCACCUUCAAGCUCUUCCAGUCCUUUCUCUGAUUCCUUCAACGGGGGUCCUGUUCUCAGUUCAGUGGUUUAAUGAUGGCAUUCGCCUAUGUAUAUGCUGUAUUCUGGCUGUGUCUCUCAGGAGCGAUCUACAUCCGGCUCCUGUCGGCCUGCACUUCUUUGCUUCAUCCAUCUUGUCUAAUUGGGUGGCUGUAUAUGUAUGGGCCUCAUGUGGGGCAGGCUCUGAAUGGAUGUUCCUUCUGCCUCUGUUCUAAACUUUGCCUCCCUAUUCCCUGCCAAGGGUAUUCUUGUUCCCCCUUUUGAAGAAGGAGUGAAGCAUUCACAUUUUGGUCAUCUUUCUUGAGUUUCAUGUGUUCUGUGCAUUUAGGGUAAUUCAAGCAUUUGGGCUAAUAGGCACUUAUCAAUGAGUGCAUACCAUGUAUUUCUUUCUGUGAUUGGGUUACCUCACUCAGGAUGAUAUUUUCUAGUUCCAUCCAUUUACCUAUGAAUUUCAUAAAGUCAUCGUUUUUGAUAGCUGAGUAGUAUUCCAUUGUAUAGAUGUACCACAUUUUCUGUAUCCAUUCCUCUGUUGAAGGGCAUCUGGGUUCUUUCCAGCUUCUGGCUAUUAUAAAUAAGGCUGCUAUGAACAUAGUGGAGCACAUGUCUUUGUUACAUGUUGGGGCAUCUUGUGGGUAUAUGCCCAAGAGAGAUAUAGCUGGAUCUUCAGGUAGUUCAAUGUCCAAUAAUCUGAGGAACCUCCAGAUUGAGUUCCAGAAUUGUUGAACCAGUCUGCAAUCUCACUAACAAUGGAAGAGUGUUCCUCUUUCUCCACAUCCUCGCCAGCAUUUGCUGUCACCUGUGUGUUUGAUCUUAGCCAUUCUCACUGGUGUGAGGUGAAAUCUCAGGGUUGCUUUGACUUGCAUUUCCCUUAGGACUAAAGAUGUUGACCAUUUCUUUAGGUGUUUCUCAGCCAUUCGGCAUUCCUCAGCUGUGCAUUCUUUGUUUAGCUCUGAACCCCAUUUUUACUAGGGUUAUUUGUCUUCCUGCAGUCUAUCUUCUUGAGUUCUUUGUAUAUUUUGGAUAUAAGAUCUCUAUCAGUUGUAGGAGUGGUAAAGAUCUUUUCCCAAUCUACAUUUCACUGAUGACUACAGAUGAACAUUUUAAGAACUCUAUCUUAAUUAUUUGUAUUUCACUGGAACCAGGUGACAUUUUAAUUUGUAAUUCAUUCUCUAUAUUCUAGAAUGGUUGUCAGACCUCUACAGAUAAGGGUUUCUGUUUGUUUUGUUUUGUUUUGUUUGUUUUUGGAUAGUCAAUAGUGGUUAACACAGAAUCUCACAAUUGCUCAAAGUGGAGGGAAUAAGUGCCUAUUUGGCACUUUACAAUUGAGUUAAGUGUGUGGUAAUUUACACUGGUUGUGUAGAUGCCCAUAAGAUAAGUUACUAAGGACCAUUCCUAAGUACAGACACAAUGCAGCCCUCAUUCCUCUCCUCAUUUUUCUCCAUAGUGGUUCUUUAAUGCUCCUCAUUUAAUGUUAUUUAUUUGGUUUUUAAAAUAAAUAGCACAAUAGGAAAUGUCAAAAAGGUAUACAGAGCUACAAAAGAAAACAUCCCUUUCUCUUUCUAUACCUCCUCGUUUUGUCCCGACCCACCCCAUUAACAGAAAAUCAUGAUUAAUGAUUUCGUAUGUAUACUUUCAGACUUAAUCUCAGUCAUGCAGGGAUAUAAAUGUACAUGUUCUCCUACUUUCACUUUUCUCCUCAAACAUUCUAAACAAGGACUCUACUGCAAAGACUCCCGUUUUAACUAAAAGUAGGUAUUGCACUUGGUUUUGCAUGUGUGUAUGUGAGUGUGUGGAGGUCAGAGGUCAACCUGUCAGACUUGAUACUCUCUUUCUACCAUGUGGACCCUUAGGGAGGACUUUAGGUUGUCAGGCUUGACAAGAAGUGUCUCAUACUCCCAAGGCAGUCUCCCUGCCCACCCUCCCAUCCCUAUGUUUCAUUUUUUAAUUCAGCGGUAGCGUCUUACACACAAGUUGUGUGCUGCCAUGCUUCCUUUAACAAUACAUCUUGGAAACCUUUCUAUAAAGGAACCUUCUAAUGUUUUGAAGUAAGGUCUGGAUACAUAGAUCAGGCUGGCCUUGAACUCUGAACUUCCAGUCUCAGCCUCAGAACAUUACUAGGAACACGGAAGUAUACCAGCCUGUCCCUACUUCUCAGCCUUUUUCUUUAACUAUUUUUGAGGUGAGUUCAUUAUACAGAUGUGUAUUCAUGGAUGGCUUCCAAUUCUUUGCUUUUGUUAUAGUGUGUGAGCUUUGCUCAUUAGUACCAGUUUACAUGAUUACGUCGUAGGAUAAAGCCCACAUGGCUUCUUUUCUGGCCUCUGAAUAUUUUUAGUUGAUGUGUUUGAGUCUGUUCCAAAGUUAUGCACAUCUUUCUUCUAUUAAAAACCAAAACUGUACACAAUACACAUAAUCAUUACACACCUGAGCACAGGAAGAUUACGUUUCGGUCUUUUUGUUCUUGCAACCACAUGGUGGCUCACAACCAUCUGUAAUGAGAUCUGUGCCCUCUUCUGAUGUGUCUGAAGACAGUGACAGUGUACUCAUACAUGAAGUAAAUAAUAAAUCCUUAAAAAAGUUUUUAUUUUAUAUGAGUACACUAGCUUUCUUCAGACACAUCAGAAGAGGGCACCAGAUCCCCCUGUAGAUGGUUGUGAGCCACUAUGUGGUUGCUGGGAUUUGAACUGAGGACCUCUGGCAGAGCAGUCAGUGCUCUCAAACUCUGAGCCAUCUCUCCAGCCCGACAUCAUCUUAAGAAAGCAUUUUCUGUGUGUGUGUGUGUGUGUGUGUGUGUGUGUGUGUGUGUGAGAGAGAGAGAGAGAGAGAGAGAGAGAGAGAGAGAGAGAGAGAGAGAGAGAAUUCAGUAGAACACCCAAGUGGAAUCUGCUAAGACCCAUUCAUUAUACCUGAUGAUGGUAAAAAUGCAUAUGGAACAGAAAAAGGCAAAUUAACAAAAUGGUGAGCCCAGGAAACGUAGUAAAUGUUCAAGCUUAUGAUUAUUUAUUGUAUUAUUCACUAGCAGAUACUUUAAGAGUUGGACUGAGUUUCAAUUCUAGAAACUUAUAGUUUAGGGAGGUGGCAGCCCGCUGGCUCACACUGGUCUUGGAAACCCUUCCAAUGUAAGAGUUCUCACAUCUGGACUGUAACUAAGGCUGUCAGGUGAGAGAAGAGAUGGAAUGGUGGCUGAUAGCUGCUGGUGCUUGGCUCUCUUUUCUUUUAAAGCUAAAACUAGAGUUUCAAACUCAUCUGAAACCUAAACAAGUGUUUGGAAUUUCUGUUCUUUCCACAUCACAACUGCCCUCUUGUGGAUAUUUUGUUCAUUCAAAAUAAAAGUUCAUUGGCAUUCAUUUCAACAAGAACGACACUUUGCAGCAAUGAUGAUGAUGAUGAUGAUGAUGAUGAUGAUGAUGAUGAUGAUGAU